GCAAGUGCAGAAGGAAGAGAAAGGCAUAACCACGCGUUUUACCGAGUGAUGCAGUCUUCUGACUGCUUGUGGUUCUGCAGUUUGUGGUAGACGACCGCAGCCACUGCCAGGGGCCCAGCAUCUCCACACAAGAAAGUGAUGGAUCGUCUUGUCAGACAGCUCAGGCUCUUCUUCACGUACUCAUGGGCCACGUGGAGGUAUGCUGGGUCUCCGUACACAUCAUGCAGGUGCAAAUACAGCACAGCAAUGCCUGCCCAGCCCGUGUAAGCCGUGCAGUCCUGCGGGUCAGCCGCCUUCAGGCCCCUCUCCAUCUGCUGCAGCAGCUCCCUUAUUUUGUUGUUCAGACGCUGCGUGAACUCGGGAGUCAGCCGGCCGGACGCAUCGAAGUACGCGGUGCCCAAGGACUUGUCGUAGUCCGCGUACGGGUUGGGUAGCGCCCGCUGCGCCAUCAUGGUGCCGCCGCGCGCCGCCUCACCUCACCUCGCCCCGCCCUGAAAGCCGCCGCCGCCGGAAGGCCGCGCCGCGCCG
This 528-nucleotide long non-coding RNA is filed under the name Gallus gallus (chicken). The record is from RNAcentral. Lineage: Eukaryota; Metazoa; Chordata; Aves; Galliformes; Phasianidae.